CCUACGGGUGACAGCAGUGAGGACUAUUGGUCAAUGGGCGCGAGCCUGAACCAGCCAAGUCGCGUGAGGGAAGACGGUCCUAUGGAUUGUAAACCUCUUUUGUCGGGGAGCAAAAGACGCCACGCGUGGCGUUCCGAGAGUACCCGAAGAAAAAGCAUCGGCUAACUCCGUGCCAGCAGCCGCGGUAAUACGGGGGAUGCGAGCGUUAUCCGGAUGUAUUGGGGUUAAAGGGUGCGCAGGCGGAAGAUCAAGUCAGCGGUAAAAUUGAGAGGCUCAACCUCUUCGAGCCGUUGAAACUGGUUUUCUUGAGUGAGUGAGAAGUAUGCGGAAUGCGGGGGGUAGCGGUGAAAUGCAUAGAUAUCACGCAGAACUCCGAUUGCGAAGGCAGCAUACCGGCGCUCAACUGACGCUCAUGCACGAAAGUGUGGGUAUCGAACAGGAUUAGAUACCCCAGUAGUC
Molecule: ribosomal RNA, 459 nt
Filed under: uncultured bacterium
Lineage: Bacteria
Description: partial 16S ribosomal RNA
Rfam family: Bacterial small subunit ribosomal RNA
Source: RNAcentral